This 755-nucleotide small RNA is filed under the name Pongo abelii (Sumatran orangutan). RNAcentral describes it as "processed transcript". The record is from RNAcentral. Lineage: Eukaryota; Metazoa; Chordata; Mammalia; Primates; Hominidae.
AGAGAUCAUCAAUUAUGAAUUUGACACCAAGGACCUGGUGUGCCUGGGCCUGAGCAGCAUCGUUGGCGUCUGGUACCUGCUGAGGAAGCACUGGAUUGCCAACAACCUUUUUGGCCUGGCCUUCUCCCUUAAUGGAGUAGAGCUCCUGCACCUCAACAAUGUCAGCACUGGCUGCAUCCUGCUGGGUGGACUCUUCAUCUACGAUGUCUUCUGGGUAUUUGGCACCAAUGUGAUGGUGACAGUGGCCAAGUCCUUCGAGGCACCAAUAAAAUUGGUGUUUCCCCAGGAUCUGCUGGAGAAAGGCCUCGAAGCAAACAACUUUGCCAUGCUGGGACUUGGAGAUGUCGUCAUUCCAGGGAUCUUCAUUGCCUUGCUGCUGCGCUUUGACAUCAGCUUGAAGAAGAAUACCCACACCUACUUCUACACCAGCUUUGCAGCCUACAUCUUUGGCCUGGGCCUUACCAUCUUCAUCAUGCACAUCUUCAAGCAUGCUCAGGUGGGGAAACUGGAGUUCAGGUGCCACACUGCAAGUAUGUGGUAAAGCCAGGAUUCAAACCUGGGUCAGCAUGGAGACCACACCCAGGUUCUCAAGCCCCGGCCAUGGGAAAGGCAGCAUGGAACAGGGGCUAAGGGAGCCCUGUUGUGAAUCCCAGCACCACCCAGUAACCAUGGAACUCUGGGCUUGCUGCUUCUGUCCCCUUUCCCCUUCCCCAGGGCCCAAAUACAGAUGAGCCAUCUUUGAAUUAAUCACAAAA